This 127-nucleotide ribosomal RNA is filed under the name Frullania magellanica. RNAcentral describes it as "partial 18S ribosomal RNA". It matches the Rfam family "Eukaryotic small subunit ribosomal RNA". The record is from RNAcentral. Lineage: Eukaryota; Viridiplantae; Streptophyta; Jungermanniopsida; Porellales; Frullaniaceae.
UUCGGAUCGCGGCGACGCCGSCGGUUCGCCGCCGGUGACGUUGUGAGAAGUUCAUUAAACCUUAUCAUUUAGAGGAAGGAGAAGUCGUAACAAGGUUUCCGUAGGUGAACCUGCGGAAGGAUCAUUG